Molecule: ribosomal RNA, 281 nt
Filed under: uncultured bacterium
Lineage: Bacteria
Description: partial 16S ribosomal RNA
Rfam family: Bacterial small subunit ribosomal RNA
Source: RNAcentral
AACGAACGCUGGCGGCAGGCUUAACACAUGCAAGUCGAGCGCUGUAGCAAUACAGAGCGGCGCACGGGUGAGUAACACGUGGGAACAUGCCUUUCGGUUCGGAAUAACUCAGGGAAACUUGAGCUAAUACCGGAUACGUCCGAGAGGAGAAAGAUUUAUCGCCGAGGGAUCGGCCCGCGUCUGAUUAGCUUGUUGGUGAGGUAACGGCUCACCAAGGCGACGAUCAGUAGCUGGUCUGAGAGGAUGAUCAGCCACAUUGGGACUGAGACACGGCCCAAACU